AGUGAACGCUGGCGGUAGGCCUAACACAUGCAAGUCGAACGAGUGGCGGACGGGUGAGGAAUACAUCGGAAUCUGCUCUGUCGUCGGGGAUAACGUUGGGAAACUUACGCUACUACCGCAUACGAUUGACUGCGCCGAUGUCGGAUUAGCUAGUGGGUGAGGUAAAGGCCCACCAAGGCGACGAUCCGUAGCUGGGCUGAGAGGAUGAUCAGCCAAACUGGAACGGAGACACGGCCCAAACUCCGACGGGAGGCAGCAGUGGGGAAUAUUGGACAAUGGGCGAAAGCCUGAUCCAGCCAUGCCGCGUGGGUGAAGAAGGCCUUCGGGUUGUAAAGCCCUGUUGUUGGGAAAGCGGUAACCAAAGAAUAAGCACCGGCUAACUUCGUGCCAGCAGCCGCGGUAAUAC
This 406-nucleotide ribosomal RNA is filed under the name uncultured bacterium. RNAcentral describes it as "partial 16S ribosomal RNA". It matches the Rfam family "Bacterial small subunit ribosomal RNA", at positions 29 to 526 of the family's 1533-position model. The record is from RNAcentral.